UAGCUCACUACUGCCCUGAAGCCCUUAGCUAAGGUCAAGGGAUACUCUCGCCUUCGACUUCUGAGUAGCCAGGACUACAUGUACACACCACACCUGACGUGAAAAGUGAAGUGUAAGGAAGUUGAAUACGUUCCCAGGAUCACGCGACUCAUAGUGAGACCUCUUCAGAACAUGAUGGAUCAAAUGCAGGAUGAGUGCAGAUAUAACAAAAAAGGUUUUAGAAACCUCCUAGUACUAUU
Long non-coding RNA from Homo sapiens (human), 239 nucleotides. RefSeq lists it as uncharacterized. The transcript is spliced from 3 exons. The record is from RefSeq and is a predicted model, not a curated record. Lineage: Eukaryota; Metazoa; Chordata; Mammalia; Primates; Hominidae.